RNAcentral lists this unclassified non-coding RNA (340 nucleotides) under soil metagenome. RNAcentral describes it as "partial contains 5.8S ribosomal RNA, internal transcribed spacer 2, and large subunit ribosomal RNA". The stretch from base 1 to 120 matches the Rfam family "5.8S ribosomal RNA", at positions 35 to 154 of the family's 154-position model. The record is from RNAcentral.
GAUGAAGAACGUAGCGAAAUGCGAUAAGUAGUGUGAAUUGCAGAAUUCAGUGAAUCAUCGAAUCUUUGAACGCACAUUGCGCCCUUUGGUAUUCCUUAGGGCAUGCCUGUUCGAGCGUCAUUUCAACCCUCGACGUCCCCUGGGACGUCGGCCUUGGGGACCGGCAGCACCCCGCCGGCCCUGAAAUGGAGUGGCGGCCCGUCCGCGGCGACCUCUGCGCAGUACAACCACUCGCACCGGGAACCCGACGCGGCCCGCCGUGAAACCCCCAACCUCUGACCGUUGACCUCGGAUCAGGUAGGACUACCCGCUGAACUUAAGCAUAUCAAUAAGCGGAGGA